This 477-nucleotide long non-coding RNA is filed under the name Nicotiana benthamiana. RNAcentral's name for it is "long non-coding RNA (NBEN_LNC030287)". The record is from RNAcentral. Lineage: Eukaryota; Viridiplantae; Streptophyta; Magnoliopsida; Solanales; Solanaceae.
AAGAAAAUCGUGAAAGAUAAUUUGUGAGGGAGUAACACUUUCGUUUGGAUAGAAGUACAUGCAAAAUUUCUACAUUGAGAUAGCUUCCAUUUAUUUCUGUUCAGACUGUUCCAACUCUAUCACAGCACUGUUGAAAAAGAAAAUAAGCUCCAUUAAAGCAGAGGAUUUUUUCCAUAGAGUGAGAGAGCUGUGACUGUUGUCUACGUAUUGGUGGCGCGCUAUCAGAUUUCUGUCCGCUAUUUCCUCAAGACUUGGUCUCCUCCUUAAUAAACUGACAUCUGGUUUUAUCUCCCUAAUCUCAUUUCCACUUUUCAUCUUUUUUUCCUGCAAAUCUGACCAUUAAUUUCAAUUCCACUGCCACAUCCCAUUUACAGAUUCUUGUUUUCCGCUUAAGGUUGGUUUUAACAGUUCUUGAAUGAGCAUUAUCUCAUAUUUUGUUCACUGCUUUUUCAUUUCCGAGAAUGUGAACUCAACCCC